GAGAGCCUAGGGAGAGAAGGGCCAAGAGGGAGUCUGGUCUUCCUCGCACAGCUUAAGAGGGAGAUUGAAAGUGGGUGCAGAAUAAGACUUGUGCCAAUGGGGUUACAGAUACAUGAGACUGCAGGGCAGGACCACAGGCUUGGGAUAAACCGUACAUUUUCGGAGGUGGGGAGACAGAGCAUGCCAUUUAACUAAAAUGCAACACCACAUUCAACCACUGCAGUUUCUAACUGGAGUCAGUAGUUAUGAAAUUUUCAGGCUCGAGCUCAAGUUAAUUAUCUACUUUAUGAAGAAAUCUGAUAAAGAACUUAGAACUCUGAUUCCACUUAGCAGGAAACAAAGAAACACUUUGCACUGCCAACCAUCCCUCCAUUGGGUGGUUUUCUGUUCACAUCCUAUGAUGACUUUAUUUUAACCCCUCCUGGUCUCAUCAGCUUCACACAAUUUGCCUGUGUUAGAGAUAUUUGAGCAGAACAUUUGCCUUACUCUGCUUUAGGCAUCCUGGCUUACAUUUACAGCAAUAAAUUAUAGCCCAUAUAUAAUUUACUGUAUAACACACCAGUGUUGUCUAACUAGAUUGACCUGUGUAAAUUAGAUCUAUAAAGUCUCUUUCUGGCUGUUAUAAAACAUUUUAAAGCUAUUAUCAUAACAGUCUUGAUUUUUCAGAAAAUGCUCAAACCCAGAAACUUUUCUACAACCCCCACUGGAACUGCCAAACCAGAAGGAACAACAUUGACUUUCAGUGCAGGUUGGAUGCAGUGUGGAGCAGGCACCUGAAAAUCAUGGAGAAAGCCCAGGUGCCCUUGCAGCUUCUCAGCAGCUGAGCUGUCUCUUGUGCUGGUUUCUCCUUGAAAGCUUUUGCCAUGAAACUUCUGUCAGCUUGGAGUCAUCCACGAGCCAAGGAGGAGGAAUCCAGGCUCACAUAUUGCAGUUCUGUCACGUCUGGGUGUUCUUUCACUCGUCAGUACCUCCCUGACUCUUCACAGAUAUUCCCUGGCUUCUCCCCAGGAUGAUCUCAUGGACCUACCAUGGAGCUAAAAGCUGACGAUAUUUCACAGAUCAUGUUUGGUGCCACUGCCCUCAGGCAGGAAACAUGGACAGAGGAAUUAACUUUUGUUGUGGGUUUGAUUUACAAGAAGUUUUAGUGAGGCUGAGACAUGAGUGGGGGCAAGGCAAAGGAGUAUGAGAAGCAAGACAAGACCAGGAUAAAGAACUAUGGGAUAUUUACAGUCCCCCUCUCAACUUUGCUGCAAGAGUUCUUUAUGAGAGACUAUGCCUCAAAUUACAACUAUCUUUAUAUUUUCCUUUCCUUCCUGUGCUGCCCACAUGUGCUCACUGUGUACCCAGCACUACGCAAGUUCUGACAAAGCCUUACAGGGACACAGCCAUAGAAGGAAACAGAACAGAAGGUCAUAAAUUGAAAAAUAACAUAAAACUAAAUGAAACCAAUUCAGAAAUACAACAAGUAAAAGGAA
This is a long non-coding RNA of Passer domesticus (house sparrow), 1475 nucleotides long. RefSeq lists it as uncharacterized. NCBI's taxonomy places the organism in Eukaryota, Metazoa, Chordata, Aves, Passeriformes, Passeridae. The record is from RefSeq and is a predicted model, not a curated record. The transcript has 2 exons.